ACUGCUCAGUAACACGUGGAUAACCUGCCCUUGGGUCCGGCAUAACCCCGGGAAACUGGGGAUAAUUCCGGAUAACGCAUAUAUGCUGGAAUGCUUUAUGCGUAAAAUGGAUUCGUCUGCCCAAGGAUGGGUCUGCGGCCUAUCAGGUAGUAGUGGGUGUAAUGUACCUACUAGCCGACAACGGGUACGGGUUGUGAGAGCAAGAGCCCGGAGAUGGAUUCUGAGACAUGAAUCCAGGCCCUACGGGGCGCAGCAGGCGCGAAAACUUUACAAUGCGGGAAACCGUGAUAAGGGGACACCGAGUGCCAGCAUCAUAUGCUGGCUGUCCAGGUGUGUAAACUACACCUGUUAGCAAGGGCCGGACAAGACCGGUGCCAGCCGCCGCGGUAACACCGGCGGCCCGAGUGGUGAUCGUGAUUAUUGGGUCUAAAGGGUCCGUAGCCGGUUUGGUCAGUCCUCCGGGAAAUCUGACGGCUCAACCGUUAGGCUUUCGGGGGAUACUGCCAGGCUUGGAACCGGGAGAGGUAAGAGGUACUACAGGGGUAGGAGUGAAAUCUUGUAAUCCCUGUGGGACCACCUGUGGCGAAGGCGUCUUACCAGAACGGGUUCGACGGUGAGGGACGAAAGCUGGGGGCACGAACCGGAUUAGAUACCCGGGUAGUCCCAGCCGUAAACGAUGCCCGCUAGGUGUCAGGCAUGGCGCGACCGUGUCUGGUGCCGCAGGGAAGCCGUGAAGCGAGCCACCUGGGAAGUACGGCCGCAAGGCUGAAACUUAAAGGAAUUGGCGGGGGAGCAC
This 796-nucleotide ribosomal RNA is filed under the name uncultured archaeon. RNAcentral's name for it is "bacterial SSU rRNA". It matches the Rfam family "Archaeal small subunit ribosomal RNA", at positions 85 to 879 of the family's 1478-position model. The record is from RNAcentral.